Molecule: ribosomal RNA, 505 nt
Filed under: uncultured bacterium
Lineage: Bacteria
Description: partial 16S ribosomal RNA
Rfam family: Bacterial small subunit ribosomal RNA
Source: RNAcentral
GACGAACGCUGGCGGCGUGCCUAAUACAUGCAAGUAGAACGCACAGUUUAUACCGUAGCUUGCUACACCAUAGACUGUGAGUUGCGAACGUGAGAGUAACGCGUAGGUAACCUGCCUGGUAGUGGGUGAUAAAUAUUGGAAACGAUAGCUAAUACCGCAUAAUAUUAAUUAUUGCAUGAUAAUUAAUUGACAGGUGCAAUUGCACCACAACCAGAUGGACCUGCGUUGUAUUCUCUAGUAUGUGAGGUAACGGCUCACCUAGGCGACGAUACAUAGCCGACCUGGGAGGGUGAUCGGACACAAUGGGACUGGGACACGGCCCGAGCCACUAAGGGAGGGAGGAGUAGGGGAUCUUCGGCAAAGGACGAAAGUCUGACCGAGCAACGCCGCGUGAGUGAAGAAGGUUUUCGGAUCGUAAAGAUCUGUUGUAAGAGGAGAACGGGUGUGAGAGUGGAAUGUUCACAAUGUGACGGUAGCUUACCAGAAGGGGACGGCUAGCUACGUG